RNAcentral lists this ribosomal RNA (492 nucleotides) under uncultured bacterium. Its description in RNAcentral is "partial 16S ribosomal RNA". It matches the Rfam family "Bacterial small subunit ribosomal RNA", at positions 29 to 507 of the family's 1533-position model. The record is from RNAcentral.
AGUGAACGCUGGCGGUAGGCCUAACACAUGCAAGUCGAACGGCAGCACAGUAAGAGCUUGCUCUUACGGGUGGCGAGUGGCGGACGGGUGAGGAAUACAUCGGAAUCUACUUUUUCGUGGGGGAUAACGUAGGGAAACUUACGCUAAUACCGCAUACGACCUACGGGUGACAGCAGGGGAUCUUCGGACCUUGCGCGAUUGAAUGAGCCGAUGUCGGAUUAGCUAGUUGGCGGGGUAAAGGCCCACCAAGGCGACGAUCCGUAGCUGGUCUGAGAGGAUGAUCAGCCACACUGGAACUGAGACACGGUCCAGACUCCUACGGGAGGCAGCAGUGGGGAAUAUUGGACAAUGGGCGCAAGCCUGAUCCAGCCAUACCGCGUGGGUGAAGAAGGCCUUCGGGUUGUAAAGCCCUUUUGUUGGGAAAGAAAAGCAGCAGGUUAAUACCCCGCUGUUCUGACGGUACCCAAAGAAUAAGCACCGGCUAACUUCGUG